UAAAACUAAAAGUGUUAUACUUUCUAGCACAGGUAAAAGUAGUGAAGUUCAGAGCUUUACUGGAAAGGCUCACCCAGAUUCUGCUACAGUUUGCUGUGAGGGAAAGAUUGUUGACUUCUUCCAAUUUUUGGAACAUCAAAGGGAAAGGCUUUCCUUCAGCCUGCAAACCCACUCAAGCAAAACGUGCUGAGUGUUCACCUUGAUCUUGAUACAUUGUCUAACAAACAAUCCCUGACAAUGAAGGUCCUUCUGAUAGGUCUUUUGGCUUUGCUGCUUUGUGCAUCUAGUAUCAUCAAUAAUAUGCAAGGUGUUGAAGCUGCUUCACUUUUCAGUGAG
Molecule: long non-coding RNA, 336 nt
Organism: Protopterus annectens (West African lungfish)
Lineage: Eukaryota; Metazoa; Chordata; Ceratodontiformes; Protopteridae
Exons: 3
Source: RefSeq, a predicted model, not a curated record